RNAcentral lists this long non-coding RNA (421 nucleotides) under Brassica napus (rape). Its description in RNAcentral is "long non-coding RNA (BNAP_LNC003280)". Lineage: Eukaryota; Viridiplantae; Streptophyta; Magnoliopsida; Brassicales; Brassicaceae. The record is from RNAcentral.
UCAUGUUACUUGUGAUUUAGUAUAUAGAGGAUAUAUAGCCUGAUAGUGAAACAUUUGCACAGAUACAAGGGCUUGAUAGCGAAACAAAGUGCAGUUGCAGUGGCGUGUUUAAUAUUUUUGAAAAUUUCAGUAGACAAUUUAGAAACUCUACACUUGUUGCUAAAAUAAAUCGAUUUAAUUAACAAAACCUUAUAUUCUCUCUAAAACCAAAAAGUAUAUACUCCAUCCGUUUCAUGAAAAUAGAUUUUCUAGCGUUUUCGCACAUAUUUAGAAAAUACAUUAAAUCACUAUAAUAAACGUAUCAUUUUCUGCAAUUUUUAAUUUUUAAUAUAUUUUAACUAAUAGUAAUUUAAUAAAAUCAAUUAAUUUUUUGGAAGUUUAUAAUUUUUUUAUAGAAAACACAAAAUAUCGAUCUUUGUGA